Non-coding RNA from Phascolarctos cinereus (koala), 408 nucleotides. NCBI's taxonomy places the organism in Eukaryota, Metazoa, Chordata, Mammalia, Diprotodontia, Phascolarctidae. The record is from RefSeq and is a predicted model, not a curated record.
GAUAAAACAGAGGCAGUGGGGCACAGUGAAAAGACCGGAGUCAGGAAAACCUGGAUUCAACUUCUAUUUGUAACAGAUUUAUAUUGAGCACUUAAGAUAUGAUUCAGUGUCAUAAACACUCUGCAGUAAGCCGAAGCAUAAACUACUACCAAGAGGAAAAGGAAACCAAACUAUGGAAAGAAGCAGCAAGAGGUCACGUGGUUUUGUGCCUUCAUAUCCUCACAUGUGGGACCAACAACAUAACACCUGCACUGCUUGGUUCAUCAGGCUAUUCUGCGAAAUGCACUGGGUAAGCUUCUAAGUAACAUGUCAAUGUGAGCAACAAGCAAGAAUCUGCCUGCUGAAUUUCAUUUCACCUUUAUUUGAUGGGAAUUGCCUCUCCAAUUAAUUCCUAUGAAAGUGAUGCCC